Long non-coding RNA from Sinocyclocheilus rhinocerous, 501 nucleotides. RefSeq lists it as uncharacterized. The transcript is spliced from 3 exons. NCBI's taxonomy places the organism in Eukaryota, Metazoa, Chordata, Actinopteri, Cypriniformes, Cyprinidae. The record is from RefSeq and is a predicted model, not a curated record.
GAGAGCUUUGCUUUGCAGUACUUCUCUUUUUUUUUAAAGAUUUCAGACCGCUGCCAUUGCCCUCCCCUACUCUGUUCUUAUUUUCGCUCUAUCUACCGCUAAAGUGAGUGGGAGAGGCAGAGGGCAGAUUAUUUCUUUAUUUUUCCAACAUUUUGAUAUGUUUUCCACCAUAACCAUGGAGUUUGACAUGAAACCCCUGAACCUUUAAGGUUUAGAUGCCCCAGACGCAGUUGUAGUGAGAAGAAUCCUCCUCCAUCACGCAGUCCUCCGCCACUCUACUGUCAUCUGGAGGAAAAAAAUCAGAAGCGUGCAGGACCAAAAAAGAGAACUCUGUUUUUACCUAACAGUGCCUCUGAUUUUGUGAAAGCAGUGUUCCUGCCUCAGAGUGCUUCCUGUGCCGAGGGGUGUGGUGUGGAGCGAAGCGGUCCGGGGAGUGCGUGGAGGGGUAGGAACCCUCUGCCUGUCAGCCUGUGUCCUACCCUUUCUCUCCCUACAACACCA